This is a long non-coding RNA of Cucumis melo (muskmelon), 353 nucleotides long. RefSeq lists it as uncharacterized. Lineage: Eukaryota; Viridiplantae; Streptophyta; Magnoliopsida; Cucurbitales; Cucurbitaceae. The transcript has 3 exons. The record is from RefSeq and is a predicted model, not a curated record.
UUCUUUCAGGUUCAGGAAGCAAAGGAGCUGCUCCAAAAUUAGGGGCACAAAGGACUAAUCGAACAUUGUCUACUGAAUUACAAAAGAAAUGCAUAUACAAAAGCAGACUUGCAAUGCACAAAUGCAUAUACAAAAGAGAUUGGCUCUGCAGUUGGUGGUACUUAUUUUGGCUCAUGAAUUGGAGGUAGUAGAGGAUGCAGAAUGCAAGUUUAUUUGAAGCCAAGUUUCAUUCAAGGUCAUUGAGUUGGGUUGAUAGAAGUAAUGUUUUGUAUAUGACAAUAUCGAACAAAUAUGUAAAGUUUUCGAAAUGUUGAUACAUAUAUGGUAAAAUGUUAAUAUAUGUUAAAGUUUUG